This 912-nucleotide ribosomal RNA is filed under the name Lachnum virgineum. RNAcentral's name for it is "partial large subunit ribosomal RNA". It matches the Rfam family "Eukaryotic large subunit ribosomal RNA", at positions 48 to 982 of the family's 3401-position model. The record is from RNAcentral. Lineage: Eukaryota; Fungi; Ascomycota; Leotiomycetes; Helotiales; Lachnaceae.
AACGGGAGCAGAGCAACAGGGAUUACCUCAGUAACGGCGAGUGAAGCGGUAACAGCUCAAAUUUGAAAUCUGGCUCUUUCAGGGUCCGAGUUGUAAUUUGUAGAAGAUGCUUUGGGUGUAGCCCUGGUCUAAGUUCCUUGGAACAGGACGUCAUAGAGGGUGAGAAUCCCGUAUGUGACUAGGCGCUUUCGCCCGUGUAAAGCUCUUUCGACGAGUCGAGUUGUUUGGGAAUGCAGCUCAAAAUGGGUGGUAAAUUUCAUCUAAAGCUAAAUAUUGGCCAGAGACCGAUAGCGCACAAGUAGAGUGAUCGAAAGAUGAAAAGCACUUUGGAAAGAGAGUUAAACAGUACGUGAAAUUGUUGAAAGGGAAGCGCUUGCAACCAGACUUAGUUGCGGCCGAUCAUCUAGGGUUCUCCCUGGUGCACUCGGUCGUAUCUAGGCCAGCAUCGGUUUGGGUGGUGGGAUAAAGGCCUUGGGAAUGUAGCUUCUUUCGGGGAGUGUUAUAGCCCUCGGUGCAAUGCCGCCUACCUGGACCGAGGACCGCGCUUCGGCUAGGAUGCUGGCGUAAUGGUUGUAAGCGACCCGUCUUGAAACACGGACCAAGGAGUCUAACAUCUAUGCGAGUAUUUGGGUGUUAAACCCAUAUGCGUAAUGAAAGUGAACGGAGGUGAGAACCCUUAAGGGUGCAUCAUCGACCGAUCCUGAUGUCUUCGGAUGGAUUUGAGUAAGAGCAUAGCUGUUGGGACCCGAAAGAUGGUGAACUAUGCCUAAAUAGGGUGAAGCCAGAGGAAACUCUGGUGGAGGCUCGCAGCGGUUCUGACGUGCAAAUCGAUCGUCAAAUUUGGGUAUAGGGGCGAAAGACUAAUCGAACCAUCUAGUAGCUGGUUCCUGCCGAUUUCCCCCUCUAGAGAGA